GCUGGAGUGGUGGAACUGGUAUACACGCCGGUCUCAAAAACCGGUGGCGUCACAGCCGCAAGGGUUCGAAUCCCUUCUCCAGCA
This 84-nucleotide transfer RNA is filed under the name Omnitrophica WOR_2 bacterium GWF2_38_59. RNAcentral describes it as "tRNA-Leu". It matches the Rfam family "tRNA". Rfam says of the family: Transfer RNA (tRNA) molecules are approximately 80 nucleotides in length. Their secondary structure includes four short double-helical elements and three loops (D, anti-codon, and T loops). Lineage: Bacteria; Pseudomonadati; Candidatus Omnitrophota. RNAcentral also lists the same sequence under 5 other names. The record is from RNAcentral.